This is a long non-coding RNA of Mercenaria mercenaria, 739 nucleotides long. RefSeq lists it as uncharacterized. The transcript has 3 exons. The record is from RefSeq and is a predicted model, not a curated record. Lineage: Eukaryota; Metazoa; Mollusca; Bivalvia; Venerida; Veneridae.
UUCAAGAAAGCCUUAAAUGUUUUUAUUUCUAUUACCUUAAGUACGUAUUAUAUAUAAUAAGAUAAUCAACACCAGGUAAAUAUUAAGAUCAGUAUUUCCUUUGGUGGUAAAACUCAGUAGCAUGUAUUUAAAGUAGGAACUUCUAUUUUGUAGACAUGAAUGGAAAGCAUUCAGAACCAUCAAACUUUUUCAAAGCCUCAGUUCGGAGGAACACCACCUAAAGUGAGUUACAAGCGGAAAAAAACAGGGACUCUUUAGUAACAGACCUCUAACCAGAUCACAGAGUGUGUGUGUGUUAUGCUGUGCUGAGAUAUUGCUGUGACAUACGGUGCAUUUAGGUCCACAACCUGAAAAUUGCACUAAUGGAACACGGUGAUUAUGACUGAAAGAAGAUAAUAGGAUAUUUGUUUUCAUCUAGAGAAAAUAAAAUGAGGGUUGGAACAAUUUUGGUUAGUCAGUUGAAGUAUACUUUGUUGUGUAUAUGUUUUAUUUUGUUCAGGUAUUAUAUGAGUUGACAACUGUACAAGACAUCCUAGACUGGCUCCCGUCCCUAUGUUUGUUCUUAUUUACAUAUAUGUUUAUUCAUUAAGAGGGCAGUAACUCCAGCAGGUUGUUUCUACAUUGACAUUUUUUAUUGUCCCUGGCUCCGAACAUAGGGACUGGUGAAAGUUGGCUUACAGUGUCUCACAAAUUCGUGAGACAAAUUCCCAUUAAUUUCUUUUAGUGAUAAUCAGCAGCU